GUCAUAGCGACUUUUGGGAUAGUUUGCUAUCGACAAAGGGAGACAAAGUCAAGGGGUGAAGGGAAAGGAGGGCCAAGUAGAGCCUCCACGACCCUCGGCUUCCUCCUCACCAGCUCCCCCUCCCUCCAAGUCCAGUAAGAAGUUGGGCCAAGCUGGAAGGGAUUGACCGGCCGUUUCCUCUCCCUCGCCGGCCUCGGCGGAGAUUCCAGGCCCUAUAGAAACCAGGACGUCCCUUAGCGCCACCGCCUCACAUGCCAGUGCUGCCGGGAACCCAGCGAUAUCCGCACCAGCGGAGAAGGUUCCAGGCUGCCGGCGGCGGCGCAGAGAGCGGGAAGAGAGGCUCGGAGGAAGCCCCGGGCGUGGCGUGGUCAGGCUCCGAGAGCGGCCGGGAUGCGGCCACACCGGCCUGGUAAACUCGCACCUCUUAGGAUCUUGCUCCCGGACUCAUUCCCUUCCCCACCCCCUAUUUUAAAGUUUUAUUUGGGUCGUCUGUAUCAAUUUAGAACGAGAUAAAUUAAGACAAAGAAAGUAAAAUAAAUCGAAAUAAAAUAUAGGAAUAGCUCUUGGCGAAAAAAAAAAAAAAAAAAAAAAAAAAAAAAAAAAAAAAAAAA
Molecule: long non-coding RNA, 611 nt
Filed under: Homo sapiens (human)
Lineage: Eukaryota; Metazoa; Chordata; Mammalia; Primates; Hominidae
Description: HOXB cluster antisense RNA 3 (HOXB-AS3)
Source: RNAcentral